This is an RNA transcript of Girardinichthys multiradiatus, 2643 nucleotides long. It is a transcript of the gene named cyclin-dependent kinase 20, with no coding region annotated. NCBI's taxonomy places the organism in Eukaryota, Metazoa, Chordata, Actinopteri, Cyprinodontiformes, Goodeidae. The record is from RefSeq and is a predicted model, not a curated record. The transcript has 9 exons.
UCCGGUACAGUAGGUGGCGAUAUGCACCUAAAACGUUGGUUGCGAGACGCCAAUAAAAAAAAAAAGAUCAGCAGCAGACGGUCAGUGUGACGUCAGAAGGUUAGCAUCAGUACCUCAGCUAGCUUAGCCGGUACCGUUACCAUGGCAACGCCUUCUCUUCAAAGCGGGGUUUCCGUUAAAAUGCGCAUUUUAUCCGCAGCCGAAUGACAGUGGCGGGUUGUAUUAGAGGAACAGUUGAUUAGCUUUGAGUUUAACGGAGGACCUCAGAGUUUCUCCUCCAUCAUCCACCUUCUGUUGGACACUACAGGCUGGUCCUGGUUGGUACUUUGGUUCUUCUCCUACUGAUUGUUAGUCUUCUCAACCAGGAAUAAAAGAGUCUGAUUUCUGUCAGCCACCCAGCAGCGGACCCACUUCUACAGACAUGGAGCAGUACAGCAUCCUGGGUCGGAUCGGAGAAGGAGCUCAUGGCAUAGUCUUUAAGGCCAAACACAUCGAGACCGGAGAGACCGUGGCUCUGAAGAAAGUGGCUCUGAGGAAGCUGGAGGAGGGCAUCCCGAACCAGGCUCUGAGGGAGAUCAAGGCCCUGCAGGAGAUUGAGGACAACCAGCAUGUAGUAAAGCUGAAAGACUUUUUCCCUCAUGGCACCGGCUUUGUCCUGGUCUUCGACUUCAUGCUGUCCGACCUCUCUGAGGUUAUCAGGAACUACCAGCGACCUCUGACCCCAGCUCAGGUGAAAUGCUACAUGAUGAUGCUGCUGAAGGGUGUAGCGUUCCUGCAUCACAACAACAUCAUGCACCGGGACCUGAAACCCGCCAACCUCCUUAUCAGCCCCUCAGGUCACCUGAAGGUCGCAGACUUUGGUCUGGCCCGGUUGUUCAGUAAUCAGGGUGACAGGCUGUACAGCCACCAGGUAGCAACAAGGUGGUACCGAGCUCCAGAGCUGCUGUAUGGAGCUCGGAAAUACGACGAGGGAGUUGACCUGUGGGCGGUGGGCUGUAUCUUCGGAGAGCUGCUAAACUCUUCUCCUCUGUUUCCUGGAGAAAAUGACAUUGAACAGCUCUGCUGCGUCCUCAGAGUGCUGGGAACGCCAACACAGGACAGCUGGCCUGAAAUCGUCGAGCUGCCAGAUUACAAUAAAAUCACCUUUAAGGAGAAUCCAGCGAUCCCAUUGGAGGAGAUCGUCCCUGACACUUCUUCUCAGGCCAUCGCCCUGCUCUACAAGUUCCUGGUGUACCCAUCCAAGCAGCGCUGCUCUGCCAGACAGGCUCUCAUCCAUCCGUACUUCUUCUCCUCUCCUCUUCCUGUUCACCGCUCGGAGCUGCCCGUGCCUCAAAGAACGGGUUGUCCAUCCCGCCAGCGGCUCCAGGCUCCGACCUCUGACCCCUCUGUAGACCUGCCCAUGCAGGACAGCGUGGUGGACCCCGCGCUGCUGCAGCCAUACACCCCCUGCCUUUAAACCAACUCGACCUGUUGGAUUUGUUGGGGGGUGACAUGAACAGAACUUCUGAACCGAGCUGAACUCAGAUGAAAUGAAAGUCUGGAAACAUUUUAACCUGCAGUUUGGUUUGUUCUUGCAUCAGGAUCAGGCAGCUGCUUUAUGAGUUGUCUAAUGGACGUGUUUCCAUGGAAACCCAGUGGUUGGUGAUCAUGUCCUGAUUGCACCUUCAGGCAGAUGUUUGAAUGGAGAACUUCAGCCAGUCUCAGAGGAAAACAUCCAGAGCCCAUUUUUUUCUGAUUCCAGCAGGGGGUAGCAUCACCCAGAAGCUCCUCCAUCUCCAGAGAACAUUAUCCUGAAACAGUUCAAGGUUCAGACUCUGCAGACUCCAGAACAACGUUCAGUCCAAUAGGAAAGUGGAAACCAGUAUAAGGACCUUAGGCCUGCACUUGUACACUGGUGUUACUGGGAAGGCCAGUAUAGUCUUCACGGUUGCAGGAUGAUGGUUCUGGUUUAAAGUGAACUUUAAAAGGUCACAUUGAUCUGACAAACAUUCCAGUCGUUUUUUUGAUUCCAGGAUUUAAGGUGGAAAAUCAGGCUGCAAGAAAUAAUGGACACAACCUGAGGUCCAACUCAGGUAAAAGACCUUCCCUUUCAUCAGAUUUUUCCACAGCCCGCUGAGUCUCAUGUUCUGACAGUACAGAAUGACCCAGUUUCAUUGUUUAAGACUAGAAACAAUUAGCUCGGGGUUUGUGGGCGGAGCCAGAAACUUCCUCUUCUUCCUCCACCUCUUCAGGCUGCAGUGUCCCUCACCCCUCAGAGGAAACCUCAGAGCCAGAGCAGCUCCUCAGCUUCUCCUGGUCCAGCAUAUCGUUAGUCUUUCCUUUCUGUCUUAUUUGAUGUCUGUUCUUGUUGUUGGAUCAGAGAUCCUCUGUGAUCAGACAGAGCUCUCACUCUGGUUUGUCUCCUCAUAGAAGAACAGAGAUGAUUUCAGAUUUAUUUCCGUCAGCGGGUUGGUCCCCAGCUUCUCCAGCCACUGGGUGUGAAAGAUCAUCAGGGUUCAGCAUGAAGUUUGAUCCCACCCCCUCAGAUCCGCUCGUCCAAUCACAGUGGCUAUCUGGUGAAGCCAGCCUGCAGCUCCUUAGGAGCUCCCACCGAUUGGACGAUGUCAGCUGUCAGUCAGUCAGCUCCUCUUACAGCCCUCCUCC